AUGGCCGCGGCGGCUCUCACCCUCCUCCUGCUGGUCCUCCUCCCGGCGGGCCGUGCUCUCGCCACGGCGGCCGGCGACGCGCACCCGGGCUACGCGGGCGCGGAGGCCGACACCUGCGAGCCGGCGCCCGGCGGCGCUCCCCCCUACGGAGGAGGCGCGGCAGGCCGGCGCCACGGCCCGGCGCUGGAGGAGUACGGGGGCGGGCACAUCGUGGACAUCACGCACGCGUACCGCCCCAGCAUGCCGGCGUUCGCGCCCGGCGCGACCGUCGGCCCCCUCGUGCGGCUCAAGGCGUCCAUGGAGGACGGGUCGGAGUACAACCUGUCGGAGCUCCGGAUGGAGUGCCACAUGGGCACCCACGUCGACGCGCCGGGCCACAUGAACCAGGCCCACUUCGCCGCCGGCCUCGACGUCGACACGCUCGACCUGGAUGUCCUCAACGGUCCUGCCUUACUGGUCGAUGUUCCAAGACACACAAAUAUAACAGCUGAAUCCAUGAAAUCCCUAAAUAUACCGAAAGGUGUUCGUCGCGUUCUCUUCAGGACAUUGAACACAGACAGGGGGCUCAUGUGGAAGGCAGCUGGUGAUAUGAGUUAUGUUGGAUUUACAGAGGAUGGUGCACAGUGGUUAGUUGACAACACGGACAUCAAGCUAGUUGGGAUUGACUAUAUAUCAGUUGCUGCGUUUGAUCACUUGAUCUCUGCCCAUGUGGCCUUCUUCAAAAAUGCGGAUAUCAUCCUAGUCGAAGCCCUGAAACUAGACAACGUGAAGACUGGACUAUACAUGCUGCACUGCUUACCUCUGAGACUGGUUGGCUCUGAGGGCUCACCAAUUAGGUGCAUUCUUAUCAAGUGA
Molecule: ribosomal RNA, 855 nt
Filed under: Triticum aestivum (bread wheat)
Lineage: Eukaryota; Viridiplantae; Streptophyta; Magnoliopsida; Poales; Poaceae
Description: partial small subunit ribosomal RNA
Source: RNAcentral